CAAAUUAUGGUGAAUGGUGGAUGUAUUUAUAGGCUAGGGAGAGGAGUGUAUGGAGUUGCAAUGAGUGGAUGUAAUGGGUGUAGUGGGUGAGUGUUGUGGUAAUGAGUGGAUGUAAUAGGUGUAGUGGGUGGAUGUUUGGUAAUGAGUGGAUGUAAUGGGUGUAGUGGGUGGAUGUUUGGUAAUGAGUGGAUGUAAUGGGUGUAGUGGGUUGUGGUAAUGAGUGGAUGUAAUGGGUGUAGUGGGUGGAUGUUUGGUAAUGAGUGGAUGUAAUGGGUGUAGUGGAUGAGUGUUUGGUAAUGAGUGGAUGUAAUGGGUGUAGUGGGUGGAUGUAAUGGGUGUAGUG
Molecule: long non-coding RNA, 343 nt
Filed under: Malus domestica (apple)
Lineage: Eukaryota; Viridiplantae; Streptophyta; Magnoliopsida; Rosales; Rosaceae
Description: long non-coding RNA (MDOM_LNC012446)
Source: RNAcentral